AGGACAGCUCCGUCGUGGGCACGUUUACCUUUCGAAGCCUUGAAUCUUUCAGUCUGCUUGAUGCAGGCGACACCAGUCUGUUGCUGAAACCUCUCAAUGUCGAAGAUCAGCAGCCGCGAGAGUCCCUCGUCUUGCGGUUCACAGAUCAAACGCUGGUGGCCUAUUUGAUCCGUUGCGGGGCUCUCCUUCAGCGGACUCGAGCCCCGAUGCGCGUCCCUCGUAGGUUAAAAUAUGACCGGCGUCACCUUGAAAUAGGGGACACGUUUGCGUUCCGUAGGUGAACCUGCGGAAGGAUCAUUAUCGAGAUGGGGUCUUUCAGGCCCAACCUCCUACCCCGUGCGUACCUACCUGUGUUGCUUUGGCGGGCCCGUUAGAGGCAUCUCUCCGGUGGUCAUAGGCCAUCGAGUGCCCGCCAGAGACCCAUCAAACCCCGUAAAUUGUGACGUCUGAGUACCAAUACAAUCGUGAAAACUUUCAACAACGGAUCUCUUGGUUCUGGCAUCGAUGAAGAACGCAGCGAAAUGCGAUAAGUAAUGUGAAUUGCAGAAUUCAGUGAAUCAUCGAAUCUUUGAACGCACAUUGCGCCCCCCGGUAUUCCGGAGGGCAUGCCUGUUCGAGCGUCAUUACACCACUCAAGCUCGGCUUGGUAUUGGGCCUUCGUCCCCGCGGACGUGCCUGAAAAACAGCGGCGACGCAGCCCGGCUUCAAGCGGUGUUGGCAUACCCUUUCGCUUUGGAAGCCCGGGCAUGUGUCCGCCGGACAACCCCCGUAACCUUCAGGUUGACCUCGGAUCAGGUAGGGAUACCCGCUGAACUUAAGCAUAUCAAUAAGCGGAGGAAAAGAAACCAACAGGGAUUGCCUCAGUAACGGCGAGUGAAGCGGCAACAGCUCAAAUUUGAAAUCUGGCUCUCUUCGGGGGCCCGAGUUGUAAUUUGUAGAGGAUGCUUCGGGUACGGCUCCGGUCUAAGUUCCUUGGAACAGGACGUCCCAGAGGGUGAGAAUCCCGUACGUGACCGGCCGCCACGCCCGUGUGAAGCUCCUUCGACGAGUCGAGUUGUUUGGGAAUGCAGCUCAAAAUGGGUGGUAUAUUUCAUCUAAAGCUAAAUACCGGCCAGAGACCGAUAGCGCACAAGUAGAGUGAUCGAAAGAUGAAAAGCACUUUGAAAAGAGAGUCAAACAGUACGUGAAAUUGUUGAAAGGGAAGCGCUUGCAAUCAGACGUGGCCGCGGGCGAUCAACCGGUACUCGUACCGGUGCACUCGCCCGUGGUCAGGCCAGCAUCGGUUUGGGCGACUGGAUAAAGUCCCCCGGAAUGUGGCUCCUUUCGGGGAGUGUUAUAGCCGGGGGCGCCAUGCAGCCCGCCCGGACCGAGGACCGCGCUUGGCUAGGAU
RNAcentral lists this small RNA (1390 nucleotides) under Sarcogyne distinguenda. RNAcentral's name for it is "eukaryotic LSU rRNA". The stretch from base 782 to 1390 matches the Rfam family "Eukaryotic large subunit ribosomal RNA", at positions 1 to 611 of the family's 3401-position model. The record is from RNAcentral. Lineage: Eukaryota; Fungi; Ascomycota; Lecanoromycetes; Acarosporales; Acarosporaceae.